RNAcentral lists this long non-coding RNA (1813 nucleotides) under Homo sapiens (human). Its description in RNAcentral is "HSALNT0355517". Lineage: Eukaryota; Metazoa; Chordata; Mammalia; Primates; Hominidae. The record is from RNAcentral.
CUCGGCCUCCCAAAGUGCUGGGAUUACAGCCGUGAGCCACCACACCCGUCCUCCCCAAAGAUUUAAAAACAGGGGCUCACGCAGAUGUUUGUAGAUGAAUUUUCAGAGAAGUACUUAUUUACAACGGCCAGAGGUGGAGAUGGCGCAGAUGACCCUCAGCUGUCUAUGAAGAAACAGCAUGUGGCCUGGCCACGUAUUACUCAGCCACGGAAAAGGAGGAAGCUGACACAGACAUCCACAUAGACAAGCCUUGAUAUCGUGCUAAAUGAAGAAGCAAGUCACAAAAGACCCCAUGUUAUGUGACCGCAUGUGUGUGAACUGUCCAGAAGUGGCAAAUCCAGAGGCAGAAAGCGGGUGAGCAGUGGCUAGGGCCUGUGUGACAAGGGGAAUGGGGCGUCUGUGUGAGGGGUACAGGGUUUGUGGGUGACGGUGACCGUUGCCUGGGGCCGAGGGGAAUGGGGCAUCUGUGUGAGGGGUACGGGGUUUGUGGGUGACGGUGACCAUUGCCUGGGGCCGAGGGGAAUGGGGCAUCUGUGUGAGGGGUACAAGGUUCGUGGGUGACGGUGACCGUUGCCUGGGGCCGAGGGGAAUGGGGCGUCUGUGUGAGGGGUACGGGGUUUGUGGGUGACGGUGACCAUUGCCUGUGGCCGAGGGGAAUGGGGCAUCUGUGUGAGGGGUACAGGGUUUGUGGGUGACGGUGACCGUUGCCUGGGGCCGAGGGGAAUGGGGGCGUCUGUGUGAGGGGUACGGGGUUUGUGGGUGACGGUGACCGUUGCCUGGGGCCGAGGGGAAUGGGGCGUCUGUGUGAGGGGUACGGGGUUUGUGGGUGACGGUGACCGUUGCCUGGGGCCGAGGGGAAUGGGGGCGUCUGUGUGAGGGGUACAGGGUUUGCGGGUGACGGUGACCGUUGCCUGGGGCCGAGGGGAAUGGGGGCGUCUGUGUGAGGGGUACGGGGUUUGUGGGUGACGGUGACCGUUGCCUGGGGCUGAGGGGAAUGGGGCGUCUGUGUGAGGGGUACGGGGUUUGCGGGUGACGGUGACCGUUGCCUGGGGCCGAGGGGAAUGGGGCGUCUGUGUGAGGGGUACGGGGUUUGCUUCUGAAGCGAUGAACCAUUCUGAAACCAGAAGAGGUGCACAGGUUGUGAAGAUGUAGAAAGAUUCACGAAGCACGACUGGGCGCUCCAGGCCAUUGAGUCACUCAUUGUGAAACGGCUGGUUUUAUAUGUCGUGCAUCUUACCCCAAUAAAGCAUUCGAUGAAGCCGACGCUCCGUGGCUCUGAUUUGGGGUGCGCUCUCGCCCAGGCUGGUUUCUGUCACCCCCGGAGUUCUGCAGCACCCGUUCUAACCACAGCCCGCCUUCCCUCACUCCUGCUUCAGUCCCGUAAACCUUCUGCAAAAUCCUGGCCCUCCAGACCCCAGCUGGGUCCUCCCCUCCAGGCCCCCAGUGGCAGCUGUGCCCCUUGUGUGCCCACGUCGGCCAGCGCAAGCCACACAUGGACCCAGUGCCCACUGCACCCCUGCCAGCCUCAGGGUCCCAGCCCGUUGUUCCGGGAGACUUCAGUCCUGGCCCAGGCAUCUCCUUCCAGCUCCUGUCCUUAUCUUGGUGGCCUCAAUGAACGUGCCAAGACCCUUGGGACCCAUGGCUCUGAGACUGGGCUCCCCUUGCGCUGCCUGCCUCCCUCCCGGGGUCCCUGUGAAGGAAGCCGUCCCACCCACCCUGCCGGUCCCUCCUCCCUUCGAGCCCUUCACUGGUCUUCACUCCUCAUUCCUGGUCCCCUCAGCUACAAAGAGCCUCCUGCUGUGCACGGAGAAAA